This 298-nucleotide ribosomal RNA is filed under the name Clostridioides difficile. Its description in RNAcentral is "partial 23S ribosomal RNA". It matches the Rfam family "Bacterial large subunit ribosomal RNA", at positions 2427 to 2724 of the family's 2925-position model. Lineage: Bacteria; Bacillati; Bacillota; Clostridia; Peptostreptococcales; Peptostreptococcaceae. The record is from RNAcentral.
UUCUGCGUGGAAGGGCCAUCGCUCAACGGAUAAAAGCUACCCUGGGGAUAACAGGCUUAUUUCCCCCAAGAGUCCACAUCGACGGGGAGGUUUGGCACCUCGAUGUCGGCUCAUCACAUCCUGGGGCAGUAGUAGGUCCCAAGGGUUGGGCUGUUCGCCCAUUAAAGUGGUACGCGAGCUGGGUUCAGAACGUCGUGAGACAGUUCGGUCCCUAUCCGUCGCAGGCGUAGGAAAUUUGAGAAGACCUGUCCUUAGUACGAGAGGACCGGGAUGGACGUACCUCUGGUGUACCAGUUGU